Molecule: long non-coding RNA, 2720 nt
Organism: Mirounga angustirostris (Northern elephant seal)
Lineage: Eukaryota; Metazoa; Chordata; Mammalia; Carnivora; Phocidae
Exons: 4
Source: RefSeq, a predicted model, not a curated record
GCUGUUUCUGGGUGGUGAUGGCGCUAGUUGGAUAGAGGAUCGUGGUUUGGGGCUCCAGCGCGGUGGACUGAUUUGGAUCCUGAGUCUUCCAUGCAGCUCGGUAACCAGGGCGACGUUCAAAACAUUGAAUAAUCAGUAGGGCAGGCAGCCACCAAUCAGAACAGGCCCUGCUCUAACCGCCGGGCACCGCCAAAUGCGCGUGUACCUGCUGAAGAUUCUGGAAUAACCUCAACCUCACGGGGCCUCGGUUUCUUCAUCUGCAAUAUGGGCAUGGUGGUUGUAAUAGUACCACUUUGGAGGGCUGUCGUGAAGACUGAAUUAGUUAAUGCGUGUAAAAGAUUGAGAAACCGGUGUCUGACUAUAGAAAGCACCCAGACCAUUUGUUCCUGUGAACCCAACAACCCAACUUCCUACCUGAGAGCCUUUGAACUUGCCUGGUCGAUGCUUGUCCUUCAAACUGGUGAUGGCAUUUGACUGAGGCGGAGCUGGCCUAAAUUGGGGAAAGAAGAAGAUUCCGGGCACCCAUUUCCCAGUCUGGGCCUGGAAGCUGGUGUCUUCCCUCUGCAGUCUGACGGAAAGAAUAUCCAGUGGAAAAAAGACAGUCUCUUCAACAAAUGGUGUUGGGAAAAUUGAACAGACACAUGCAGAAGAAUGAAACUGGACCAUUUCCUUACACCACACACAAAAAUAGACUCAAAAUGGAUGAAAGACCUAAAUGUGAGACAGGAAUCCAUCAAAAUCCUCAAAGAGAACACAGGCAGCAACCUCUUCUACCUCAGCCAUAGCAACUUCUUCCUAGAAACAUCGCCAAAGGCAAGGGAAACAAAAACAAAAAUGAACUAUUGAGACUUCAUCAAGAUAAAAAGCUUUUGCACAGCAAAGGAACCAGAUGACAAAACCAAAAGACAACCGACAGGAUGGGAGAAGAUAUUUGCAAAUGCCUUAUCAGAUAAAGGGCUAGUAUCUAAAAUCUAUAAAGAACUUACCACACUCAACAUCCAAAGAACAAAUAAUCUAAUCAAGAAAUGGGGAGAGGACAUGAACAGACAUUUCUGCAAAGAAGACAUCCAAAUGACCAACAGACACAUGAAAAAACGCUCAACAUCACUUGGCAUCAGGGAAAUCCAAAUCAAAACCUCAAUGAGAUACCACCUCACAUCAGUCAGAAUGGCUAAAAUUAACAAGUCAGGAAACGAUAAAUGUUGGCAAGGAUGCAGAGAAAGGGGAGCCCUCCUACACUGUUGGUGGGAAUGCAAGCUGGUGCAGCCACUCUGGAAACAAAAUGGAGGUUCCUCAAAAAGUUAAAAAAAAAAAAAAAAAGAGCUACUCUACGACCCAGCAAUUGCACUAUUGGGUAUUUACCCCAAACAAACAAAUGUAAUGAUCCGAAGGGGCACAUGCACCCCAAUGUUCAUAGCAGCAAUGGUCACAAUAGCCAAAAUAUGGAAAGAGCCUAGAUGUCCAUUGACAGAUGAAUGGAUAAAGAAGAUGUGAUGUAUAUAUACAAUGGAAUAUUACUCAGCCAUCCAAAAGAAUGAAAUCUUGCCAUUUGCAACAACAUGGAUGGAACUAGAGGGUAUUAUGCUAAGCAAAAUAAGUCAACCAGAGAAAGACAAUUAUCAUAUGAUCUCACUGCUAUGUGGAAUUUAAGAAACAAGGCCAAAAGUCAUAGGAGAAGAGAGAAAAAAGUGAAACAAGAUGAAACCAGAGAGGGAGACAAACCAUAAGAGACUCUUAAUCAUAGGAAACAAACUGAGGGCUGUUGGAGGAGAGGUGGUUGGAGGGAUGGGGUCACUGGGUGAUGGACAUUGGGGAGGGUAUGUGUUGUAAUGAGCACUGAGUAUUAUAUAAGACUGAUGAAUCAUAGGGUGCCUGGGUGGCUCAGUUGGUUAAGCGACUGCCUUCGGCUCAGGUCAUGAUCCUGGAGUCCCGGGAUCGAGUCCCGCAUCGGGCUCCCUGCUCGGCGGGGAGUCUGCUUUUCCCUCUGACCCUCCCUCCUCUCAUGUGCUUGCUCUCUCUCAUUCUCUCUCUCUCAAAUAAAUAAAUAAAAUCUUUAAAAAAAAAAAGACUGAUGAAUCAUAGACCUGUACCCCUAAAACAAAUAAUACAUUAUAUGUUAAUUAAUUGAAUUUCAAUUAAAAAUAUUUAAAAAAGAAAAAAUAUACUAUAUAUAUACUAUAAAUAUGUAUACUUACAUAUACAUGAGAAAAAUAUAUAUACUAUAUAUACUAUCUAUAUAAAAAAGAAAAAUAGAUACACUAUAUAUAUAGUAUACAUAUAUAUAUUUAUAUAUAACCCCUAUUCUCUGUCUCUACAGAUUUGCCUAUUCUGGACAUUUCAUAUGAUGGAAUCAUAGAAUAUGUGGAUUUUUGUGACUGACGUCCUUCACUUUCCAAGGCCAGUUCAAGCUACAGCAUAUAUCUCUACUUCAUUCCCUUUUAUGGCCAAAUGAUAUUCCAUUGUAUGAAUAUAUCACAUUUUGUUUCUCCAUUUGUCUAUUGAUGGACAUGUAGAUUAUUUCUGCCUUUUGACUAUCAUGAGUAUUGCUGCUGUAAACAUUCAUGUCCAAGUUUUUCUGCGGACAAAUGUGUUUUCAUUUCUCUUGGAUAUAUACUUGGGGUGGAAUUGCUGGGUUAUAUGGUAACGCUAUAUUUAUUUAUUUAUUUAUUAAAGAUUUUAUUUAUUUAUUUGACAGAGAGAUAGCGAGAGCAGGAACACAG